RNAcentral lists this ribosomal RNA (439 nucleotides) under uncultured Nitrospirales bacterium. RNAcentral describes it as "partial 16S ribosomal RNA". It matches the Rfam family "Bacterial small subunit ribosomal RNA", at positions 338 to 794 of the family's 1533-position model. The record is from RNAcentral. Lineage: Bacteria; Pseudomonadati; Nitrospirota; Nitrospiria; Nitrospirales.
CCUACGGGAGGCAGCAGUGAGGGAUAUUGCGCAAUGGGCGAAAGCCUGACGCAGCGACGCCGCGUGGAGGAUGAAGGCCUUCGGGUUGUAAACUCCUUUUGCAGGGGACGAUGAUGACGGUACCCUGCGAAUAAGCCACGGCUAACUCUGUGCCAGCAGCCGCGGUAAGACAGAGGUGGCGAGCGUUGUUCGGAAUUACUGGGCUUAAAGGGCGCGUAGGUGGUAGUGCAAGUCUGGGGUGGAAUCCUAUGGCUUAACCAUAGAACUGCCCUGGAAACUGCAUUACUGGAGUAAGCGAGGGGAGGGUAGAAUUCCGGGGGUAGCGGUGAAAUGCGUAGAUAUCAGGAGGAAGGCCGGUGGCGAAGGCGGCCCUCUGGCGCUUGACUGACACUGAGGCGCGAAAGUGUGGGGAGCAAACAGGAUUAGAUCCCCCGGUAGU